Molecule: long non-coding RNA, 2005 nt
Organism: Cynoglossus semilaevis (tongue sole)
Lineage: Eukaryota; Metazoa; Chordata; Actinopteri; Pleuronectiformes; Cynoglossidae
Exons: 5
Source: RefSeq, a predicted model, not a curated record
GGUCUGGCAUGGCCUGCUGCCUGCGUUAGCAUUAGCAUUAGCCGAACUCCAACGAGCAAUCGAAGAGCCGCUGCUGCCAUUAGAGGUCAGCGGAGAGCGGGUCUUGGGUAAAGGACUCACCUGGAAUCAAGUGCAACAAAAUAUCUGGAAAGACACAAAAGGCUUCACAGCAGGAUUGUGCAGUUGCCCCUGGAUGGAAUAUGGAAUCCACAUGGCAGACCACCCAUGUGAGCAAAAUCAAGCCCACCUCAGACACCAGAGCAUCUGCAGGGUGGUCACCAUGGAUAAGCAAGAAACCUCAUUCAGACAAGAGAGAGAGAGAGGGGACGGGGGAGAGAGCAAGGAUUUUCAAUGGAUGAAGUGGCAAACACACAGGCAGCAGCAGCAGCAGCAGCAGCCCAGAGGUCGUAAUGACAUCUUCCAGUAAAAAUGACAGCUACCAGGAUUUCCUUGCUCUUUCCGAGCAGCACAGGGGAGUAGCACAAGGUUCUACCACCAACUUUCAUCUGGAAACCCUCCCUUUCUUCCUCCCUCUUCCCGCUGCACUCAGGCUGUUGACUCAGCUCUACUGGUUCUGCUAUCAAUUUACUGGCCUGUCAGACCAGAAGGCCCCCAGUUUACCGUAACACACCCCCCUCUUCUGGUCAACAUGAACAGCUUAAAAUGGGAGUACUGCCAGGAGAAUGACAGAAAAAGAGAGGGGGGAGGUUAGAUUUAUGGGAGAAUGUUGGGCUUUAAUAUCCCAAUAGAAUACAAUCAUGAAACAUUGAGCAGGACACAGCCUCAACUCAAACCCCAGACCUCCAAAAAAACCUCUGAGGAACUCUUUUGGUACAUAAGGCACUGUGACAUCUCUGUGGCAGUUUUGGAAUAACGUCACUCCUCAGUCACAGACGAAGAUCAGAGGAGCGUCUGACCCUUUACUAAGCCUUCUAAGCUGCCAUCAUACCUGUCUGUCAACUCCACCCUCAGGUGUUUUCUCUAUAGUGGCUGUCGUCACACCUGGUAUGGCAACAAAGUUUUCCAGACAGGGACUGUGCAGCCUAACAGCACAAAAAAGUACCCGGGCAGGAGAAACUGGAGAAGGGAACCCAUUCCCACCUGGUGGAAACAUGCAAACUACAUACUAAAAGACCAUCAGAGACCACCAGGGCUCCAACCAACGCUUUCAGUUAAGGCAAGAGCACUAACCACUCUUACACAAUGUUGCCCCCAAAAGAAGUACUUACUCAAAUAUAUAGAACCACAUCCUAAAGUUACCAACAGCAUAUGGGUUUAUAUGGCAUCAAUGGUGUUGUUUGAGUGCUGUAUACAGCUCUACGGUACCCCACUGAGGCCCACAGCCUAAAACAAUGACACGCAAUGUUGUGUCUUUACUUACAAAAACAUAAAAGAGAAAUCUUAUGUUUCUUGUCUAAAAUGCAAUGCAACAGAGCUGUGCUGUUUUAAUUGCUCAUGAACCAGAGUCAGAGGUUGUGUGUGCGUGCAGUGUGCAUGUCUGUGUGCGUGACUGAGGUGAUUUGGCAUUUUGGUUAACAAGCGUAGUUAAACACAUGGGCUGUUGUGCACAUCUGUUAAUAGGCACUUAGUGCUAAUAUACAACUUAUUCCAGAAGCAAAUGGUACUCUGCAUUUUAACAUGUAUAAUUUCAGCUAAUUGUUAGAAAUAUUAUUGCAAUUAGCAAUAAUAAAAAAAAGAACAACAAAAAGUGAUUGAAAAAAACCCCUAAAGUGUUAAAGUGUAAAGUGUUAUUUAAAUAAGCAGAAUAAGUAAAGCAACAUGUCAAAAGCUAAAACUUAACUAACCCUGCAAGUAUGGAUGUGGAUCCAUACAGGGUGUGGAUGAUAUCUUUGUAAGAGUGUUGGAUGAAGAGCAACAAACAAACGCUACCACACAAAAGUUAGAUGGCACAUAUUGGCAUUAAACCUUGGCGUAAUUUCUAUGAUAAGUAUAUGUUUAUGUAUAUGUGUACAUAUAUGCUCACGCAAUGCAGUGUAUGUCUGUA